UAGGGAAUCUUCCACAAUGGGCGAAAGCCUGAUGGAGCAACGCCGCGUGUGUGAUGAAGGCUUUAGGGUCGUAAAGCACUGUUGUAUGGGAAGAAAUGCUAGAAUAGGGAAUGAUUCUAGUUCGACGGUACCAUACCAGAAAGGGACGGCUAAAUACGUGCCAGCAGCCGCGGUAAUACGUAUGUCCCGAGCGUUAUCCGGAUUUAUUGGGCGUAAAGCGAGCGCAGACGGUUGAUUAAGUCUGAUGUGAAAGCCCGGAGCUCAACUCCGGAAUGGCAUUGGAAACUGGUUAACUUGAGUGUUGUGGAGGUAAGUGGAACUCCAUGUGUAGCGGUGGAAUGCGUAGAUAUAUGGAAGAACACCAGUGGCGAAGGCGGCUUACUGGACAACAACUGACGUUGAGGCUCGAAAGUGUGGGUAGCAAACAGGAUUAGAUACCCUGGUAGUCCACACCGUAAACGAUGAAUACUAGGUGUUAGGAGGUUUCCGCCUCUUAGUGCCGAAGCUAACGCAUUAAGUAUUCCGCCUGGGGAGUACGACCGCAAGGUUG
RNAcentral lists this ribosomal RNA (550 nucleotides) under uncultured bacterium. RNAcentral describes it as "bacterial SSU rRNA". It matches the Rfam family "Bacterial small subunit ribosomal RNA", at positions 355 to 896 of the family's 1533-position model. The record is from RNAcentral.